UAGCUAAAAAAGGAUCUUUUUUAUACACACUUGUCUCUUUCUUAUCCACACUGUUAUGCCUAUUUCAUACAAACUUGUUUUAUGAGCAGGUGAGGGACUGAAAAAUAAGCCGCAAUCAAAACCAUGCACUGAGUGUAAAUAUUUGUAGGAACAAUCCUUGAAUGAUAAAUCAUAUGCAAAACAGAGACUGUCAAUCUGUUUAAUUAAAUGGAUGCACAGCCAUCCAUCUAUUGCUGUCUUUGCUACCCGUAUUAAUUGCAAGUAUUUAUAAACCGAACCCUGUGCCCUUCCCGUUUUCCCUUUCUCAACUAUCUAUCUAGUGCGGCACCAUGUAUUCCAUCUCUAGCCAUGUAUUCCAUCUCUAGCCGACUGAAUCCGUCAACCACUAUUUUGUCUCCUGGUGACCUUGUCAACCAGAUCAAGCCCCACCAACCGCCUGUCUCAUCCCAGGUGGGUACCAUGCAGCCUUUUUCUUCAAUCUUCUCCCCCUUUCUUCUCCUCCUUCGCCCUCUUCCCUCCCUUUAGGGUUUAUUCAAGACUUCCACCUUCCCUUCUUGUUCUUUAUCGAACUUCUCAAUUUCUUGUACAGCCUGGUGAGAUGGUAUUGUAACGUGUCAAAGUCGUAUAUCUUGUAUCCACACCUGUGUCAUCUUGUGUUGACAUGAGUACAUUGGGUAUGGAGGUGAGUCCAGUU
This 694-nucleotide long non-coding RNA is filed under the name Phoenix dactylifera (date palm). RNAcentral's name for it is "long non-coding RNA (PDAC_LNC019341)". The record is from RNAcentral. Lineage: Eukaryota; Viridiplantae; Streptophyta; Magnoliopsida; Arecales; Arecaceae.